UCAUAUUUUGUUCUAGGAAUUGAGUUGUAAUUUUUGAGUUGUAAGUAAAUAAAAGUGUGAUGAUUUACGUUAUUAGAGCAUUGUCCCAUGUGAGAGAAAAGGAUGAUGGAAAGCUAUGAGUCCCUCACAAGUUGGAUGAGUAUCCAUACUUUACAAAAAAUAAAAGAGGCCAGCGAAGCCCAUAAAAAAUAAAAGAGGUCAAAGAUGC
RNAcentral lists this long non-coding RNA (208 nucleotides) under Hordeum vulgare. RNAcentral describes it as "long non-coding RNA (HVUL_LNC019729)". Lineage: Eukaryota; Viridiplantae; Streptophyta; Magnoliopsida; Poales; Poaceae. The record is from RNAcentral.